UGGGGAAUAUUGCACAAUGGGCGCAAGCCUGAUGCAGCCAUGCCGCGUGUAUGAAGAAGGCCUUCGGGUUGUAAAGUACUUUCAGUCGGGAGGAAGGUGGUAAGGUUAAUAACCUUGGCAAUUGACGUUACCGACAGAAGAAGCACCGGCUAACUCCGUGCCAGCAGCCGUGGUAAUACGGAGGGUGCAAGCGUUAAUCGGAAUUACUGGGCGUAAAGCGCACGCAGGCGGUUGAUUGAGUCAGAUGUGAAAUCCCCGGGCUUAACCCGGGAAUUGCAUCUGAUACUGGGCAGCUAGAGUCUUGUAGAGGGGGGUAGAAUUCCAUGUGUAGCGGUGAAAUGCGUAGAGAUGUGGAGGAAUACCGGUGGCGAAGGCGGCCCCCUGGACAAAGACUGACGCUCAGGUGCGAAAGCGUGGGGAGCAAACAGG
This 429-nucleotide ribosomal RNA is filed under the name Chloroflexota bacterium. Its description in RNAcentral is "Chloroflexi bacterium partial 16S ribosomal RNA". It matches the Rfam family "Bacterial small subunit ribosomal RNA", at positions 355 to 776 of the family's 1533-position model. The record is from RNAcentral. Lineage: Bacteria; Bacillati; Chloroflexota.